AAUCUUUCACAAUGGGCGAAAGCCUGAUGGAGCAAUGCCGCGUGCAGGACGAAGGCCUUCGGGUUGUAAACUGCUUUUAUAAGCGAGGAAUAUGACGGUAACUUAUGAAUAAGGAUCGGCUAACUACGUGCCAGCAGCCGCGGUCAUACGUAGGAUCCGAGCAUUAUCCGGAGUGACUGGGCGUAAAGAGUUGCGUAGGUGGAUGUUUAAGUAGAUAGUGAAAUCUGGUGGCUCAACCAUUCAGACUGUUAUCUAAACUGGACAUCUCGAGAGCGUCAAGGGUAACUGGAAUUUCUAGUGUAGGAGUGAAAUCCAUAGAUAUUAGAAGGAACACCGAUAGCGUAGGCAGGUUACUGGGGCGUUUCUGACACUAAGGCACGAAAGCGUAGGGAGCAAACG
RNAcentral lists this ribosomal RNA (399 nucleotides) under uncultured bacterium. RNAcentral describes it as "partial 16S ribosomal RNA". It matches the Rfam family "Bacterial small subunit ribosomal RNA", at positions 360 to 774 of the family's 1533-position model. The record is from RNAcentral.